UGGGGUAUAGCUCAGGGGUAGAGCCAAUGCUUAGGAUGCAGUAGUUCCUGGGUUCAAUCCCCAGUACCUUCA
Molecule: transfer RNA, 72 nt
Filed under: Camelus bactrianus (Bactrian camel)
Lineage: Eukaryota; Metazoa; Chordata; Mammalia; Artiodactyla; Camelidae
Also listed under: 2 other names
Rfam family: tRNA
About the family: Transfer RNA (tRNA) molecules are approximately 80 nucleotides in length.
Source: Rfam by way of RNAcentral